RNAcentral lists this ribosomal RNA (485 nucleotides) under uncultured bacterium. RNAcentral's name for it is "partial 16S ribosomal RNA". It matches the Rfam family "Bacterial small subunit ribosomal RNA", at positions 29 to 523 of the family's 1533-position model. The record is from RNAcentral.
AGUGAACGCUGGCGGCGUGCUUAACACAUGCAAGUCGAACGAGAACGGAUUAUAGCUUGCUAUAAUUGUCAGCUAAGUGGCGCACGGGUGAGUAAUGUAUAGAUAACCUGCCCUCUAGAAAGGAAUAACAGUUGGAAACGACUGCUAAUGCCCUAUAUGCCUUUAAUACAUAAGUAUGCAAGGGAAACGCUUUAGUGCUAGAGGAUGGGUCUGUAUGGUAUCAGCUAGUUGGUGAGGUAAUGGCUCACCAAGGCUAUGACGCCUAACUGGUUUGAGAGGAUGAUCAGUCACACUGGAACUGAGACACGGUCCAGACUCCUACGGGAGGCAGCAGUGGGGAAUAUUGCACAAUGGACGAAAGUCUGAUGCAGCAACGCCGCGUGGAGGAUGACACAUUUCGGUGCGUAAACUCCUUUUAUAUAGGAAGAUAAUGACGGUACCAUAUGAAUAAGCACCGGCUAACUCCGUGCCAGCCGCCGCAGUAA